CUGGGAUGCAGGCGCGGCGGGGACUGGCAGCAAUCAUGCCCUGGGAGCUCAUGUAGAGCUUUGGAUAAUGCUUUUGCAAGUUGUACGAGAAGGGAAGUUCUCGGGGUUUCUGACCUCCUACAGCCUCCUCUUGCCUCGGGCUGCCCAGAUCUUGGCGGCUGAGGCUGGCUUACCUUCGAGCCGUUCCUUCAUGGGAUUUGCUGCUCCCUUCACCAACAAGCGAAAGGCUUACUCGGAGCGUAGAAUCAUGGGGUAAGCAUUCUCUGCCUUGCAUCCUUGCACUUCCCCUUUCCCUCCAAAUAACCCUGUCCAGGCAAGAAUGUCAGGGUAUCAUCGGUGGGCAAGAUUCAUCCCUAGCCAUCCCCCUCCCCAGCUACAAUACUGAUCCUCAGUCCUCCCCUGCCACCCUCCCGACCUUAAUUUCUCCCUUCUUGGUUGCUGUGCAUGUGCUUAAGUGAAAUGAGACUAGGGUUGGACUAUACUUUAAGACAACAGGGCGUGCUGGGUGCGGUGGCUCAUGCCUGUAAUCCCAGGACUUUGGGAGGCUGAGGCGGGCCGAUCGUUUUAGGUCAGGAGUUCGAGACCAGCCUGGCCAACAUGGUGAAACCCUGUCUCCACUAAAAAAAAACCACACACACACAAGAAUCAGCCUGGCACGGUGGCGGGCGCCUUUAAUCCCAGCUACUUGGGAGGCUGAGGCAGGAUAAUC
Molecule: small RNA, 709 nt
Filed under: Pan troglodytes (chimpanzee)
Lineage: Eukaryota; Metazoa; Chordata; Mammalia; Primates; Hominidae
Description: retained intron
Source: RNAcentral